RNAcentral lists this ribosomal RNA (1428 nucleotides) under uncultured organism. Its description in RNAcentral is "16S ribosomal RNA". It matches the Rfam family "Bacterial small subunit ribosomal RNA". The record is from RNAcentral.
UUAACACAUGCAAGUCGAGGGGCAGCAUUUUAGUUUGCUUGCAAACUGAAGAUGGCGACCGGCGCACGGGUGAGUAACACGUAUCCAACCUGCCGAUAACUCCGGGAUAGCCUUUCGAAAGAAAGAUUAAUACCGGAUAGCAUACGAAUAUCGCAUGAUAUUUUUAUUAAAGAAUUUCGGUUAUCGAUGGGGAUGCGUUCCAUUAGUUUGUUGGCGGGGUAACGGCCCACCAAGACUACGAUGGAUAGGGGUUCUGAGAGGAAGGUCCCCCACAUUGGAACUGAGACACGGUCCAAACUCCUACGGGAGGCAGCAGUGAGGAAUAUUGGUCAAUGGGCGCGAGCCUGAACCAGCCAAGUAGCGUGAAGGAUGAAGGCUCUAUGGGUCGUAAACUUCUUUUAUAUGGGAAUAAAGUUUUCCACGUGUGGAAUUUUGUAUGUACCAUAUGAAUAAGGAUCGGCUAACUCCGUGCCAGCAGCCGCGGUAAUACGGAGGAUCCGAGCGUUAUCCGGAUUUAUUGGGUUUAAAGGGAGCGUAGGUGGAUUGUUAAGUCAGUUGUGAAAGUUUGCGGCUCAACCGUAAAAUUGCAGUUGAAACUGGCAGUCUUGAGUACAGUAGAGGUGGGCGGAAUUCGUGGUGUAGCGGUGAAAUGCUUAGAUAUCACGAAGAACUCCGAUUGCGAAGGCAGCUCACUAGACUGUCACUGACACUGAUGCUCGAAAGUGUGGGUAUCAAACAGGAUUAGAUACCCUGGUAGUCCACACAGUAAACGAUGAAUACUCGCUGUUUGCGAUAUACAGUAAGCGGCCAAGCGAAGGCAUUAAGUAUUCCACCUGGGGAGUACGCCGGCAACGGUGAAACUCAAAGGAAUUGACGGGGGCCCGCACAAGCGGAGGAACAUGUGGUUUAAUUCGAUGAUGCGCGAGGAACCUUACCCGGGCUUAAAUUGCAACAGAAUAUAUUGGAAACAGUAUAGCCGUAAGGCUGUUGUGAAGGUGCUGCAUGGUUGUCGUCAGCUCGUGCCGUGAGGUGUCGGCUUAAGUGCCAUAACGAGCGCAACCCUUAUCUUUAGUUACUAACAGGUCAUGCUGAGGACUCUAGAGAGACUGCCGUCGUAAGAUGUGAGGAAGGUGGGGAUGACGUCAAAUCAGCACGGCCCUUACGUCCGGGGCUACACACGUGUUACAAUGGGGGGUACAGAAGGCGGCUACCUGGUGACAGGAUGCUAAUCCCAAAAACCUCUCUCAGUUCGGAUCGAAGUCUGCAACCCGACUUCGUGAAGCUGGAUUCGCUAGUAAUCGCGCAUCAGCCAUGGCGCGGUGAAUACGUUCCCGGGCCUUGUACACACCGCCCGUCAAGCCAUGAAAGCCGGGGGUACCUGAAGUACGUAACCGCAAGGAGCGUCCUAGGGUAAAACUGGUAAUUGGG